UACGUAGGGUGCGAGCGUUGUCCGGAAUUAUUGGGCGUAAAGAGCUUGUAGGCGGUUUGUCGCGUCUGCUGUGAAAUCUCAAGGCUCAACCUUGAGCUUGCAGUGGGUACGGGCAGACUAGAGUGUGGUAGGGGAGACUGGAAUUCCUGGUGUAGCGGUGAAAUGCGCAGAUAUCAGGAGGAACACCGGUGGCGAAGGCGGGUCUCUGAGCCGAUACUGACGCUGAGGAGCGAAAGCGUGGGGAGCGAACAGG
Molecule: ribosomal RNA, 253 nt
Filed under: uncultured bacterium
Lineage: Bacteria
Description: partial 16S ribosomal RNA
Rfam family: Bacterial small subunit ribosomal RNA
Source: RNAcentral